RNAcentral lists this non-coding RNA (84 nucleotides) under Priestia flexa. Lineage: Bacteria; Bacillati; Bacillota; Bacilli; Caryophanales; Bacillaceae. The record is from RNAcentral.
UGCGGAUGUACACAGGUACAGUCAUAAAAGGUUUACCGCAAGAAGUCAGCAGAAGCCAUAGUAAUGAAGUGAUUCAUGAAGGGC